This 206-nucleotide unclassified non-coding RNA is filed under the name Hevea brasiliensis (rubber tree). Lineage: Eukaryota; Viridiplantae; Streptophyta; Magnoliopsida; Malpighiales; Euphorbiaceae. The record is from RNAcentral.
AUGGAUCCAUCAGAACUAAGGUAUUUGGAGGAUGAUAAUACUCCCACAAUGAAAACAAUUAAGGGUGCAACUAUGGGUUUAGUUGCUGGAACUAUCUGGGGGACUGUUGUUGCCACUUGGUAUGAUGUGCCUCGUGUUGAGAAACAUGUUGCACUUCCAGGGCUAAUAAGGACCCUCAAGAUGAUGGGUAACUAUGGCAUGACUUU